This is a non-coding RNA of Phalacrocorax carbo (great cormorant), 1573 nucleotides long. Lineage: Eukaryota; Metazoa; Chordata; Aves; Suliformes; Phalacrocoracidae. The record is from RefSeq and is a predicted model, not a curated record.
GCCCCCGCUGCAAGCCUGCCCUCGGGUGUUGCUGGGCUCGGCCUGGCCGGGCCGCUGAGCCCUCUCGGUCGGGUACGCCUCGGCCGGCCGUGAGGAAAAGCGCUUGUGGCGGUAUCGCCUCGCAAGGGGAGAAACAUCGACGCGGAGGAUGAGGCGGUUGUGGCACCUCAGGGAUGUGCGUGUCGGAAGCAACAUCCGAGGGGAGCCCGUCUGGCUGCUGGGAAGGAUCAGUUCCUUAACUUCGCACCCUCCGGCAGAGUCACCAGACAUCAUUUAACAGAGGUUUAAGACAAAACCAGAGAGAGCAUCAGCCUGGGAAUCACAGCCCUUUGCAUACUUCCUGCCCUCUGCAGCGUUUGGCCACCCUGCCUCGCCCCAUCGGCUGCACGCUGUGCGUGGUGCCUGGUGUCCCACCGGCCUGGGGUUGUUGCACAAACAUUCCUUACAAAGACAUCUCUUGGCACAAAGACCCUGGGAGCAGGAUCCUAGGUUGAAAUGAAACCUCCUUGGAAUAAGUAAAUACCAGGGGUUUAUUUCCUAUUAAGCUAGCAGGUUGUUUGUUCAUUUUGCCGCAGUUUGCAGUGUCCGACAGAUACGGGUGGAUACUUCGUGUCUUCCUUCCUCUUUAUAUUUCCAGUCUGGGAACAGCAAAAAAGUUAGUGAAAGUGUAACAUCUGUGAGAGAGAGAGAGAGAGAGAGGGAGAGAGAGAAAAGGAUGAGGCAGGCUGGCCAGGCAGCCAGCCUCAGGAGAUGGUAACACAGAAGAGCUAUUCAUUCUGAAAGCCAGUUGCUCCUCGCCCUGCUAGAUUAUAAAUUGGACACCUUAUUAAGAGCUGAUCCUCCAGCAGCCCCACCCGGGGCUGUGCUCAUGCUCUAAACCAGUGGAACGUAAUCCUAUUUCACUAUUGAUGCCUGUUACUGGAUAAGCACAUGUGCAAGCAGGGCAGAGGAUACUAGGCAGAAAGAAGCGGCACCUUGGCUGUUUGCUGAAUUGUCAGUUCAAGGAAAGAAGAUAAAGAGUUUUGGGAGAGAGUGGGGAGGAAGUUGGUUUGCACUAGAAUUUGGGUGCUUCUAUGAUGAUGCUAGCUGCCUUACAAAUAAUUAAACCAGCAUAUUUUUUUUCUUGUUUUCUCAGUUGUAACUUAAAAAUGCUGACUCACUGGCACGCUGUGCCAACCCAAAUGUGGCUGCUGGGAUCAACCGCUGGAAGAGCCUGACGAGAUAUAACCCCAGCAUGGCAUAGGCUUCAAGUGGGCCUCCUUGGCAAAACCAGCUGGGGCAUUCAGACAAUGCUGGAUGCAUCAUGAGGAUUCUGCAUCGUCAGAACAUUUAUUCUGAAUAUUGUGUAGAUUCACGGCUGGUUGAUUCCCGUAUUGAGGUUCGGGGUCCUUGACUGUCACUGCUGUGCUGGAAAGCAAUGACUCCUCAGAUGUUCCUGGAUACCUUUAUGUAUCUGUCUCCAACUACUUUACGAGCUCAUGAAAAUGAACACAAGGCAUCUUCAACAUUUCUCUCUUCUCCUCUACUAUUUUUUACAUAGGGCACUUUUUCCAAUAACUGUUUCCUAGUAAAA